UGCCAGCCGCCGCGGUAAUACGGAGGGGGUUAGCGUUGUUCGGAAUUACUGGGCGUAAGGCGCACGUAGGCGGAUCAGAAAGUAUGGGGUGAAAUCCCAGGGCUCAACCCUGGAACUGCCUCAUAAACUCCUGGUCUAGAGUUCGAGAGAGGUGAGUGGAAUUCCGAGUGUAGAGGUGAAAUUCGUAGAUAUUCGGAGGAACACCAGUGGCGAAGGCGGCUCUCUGGACCAAUACUGACGCUGAGAUGCGAAAGCGUGGGGAGCGAACAGGAUUAGAUA
This 279-nucleotide ribosomal RNA is filed under the name uncultured bacterium. RNAcentral describes it as "partial 16S ribosomal RNA". It matches the Rfam family "Bacterial small subunit ribosomal RNA", at positions 506 to 784 of the family's 1533-position model. The record is from RNAcentral.